AUGAAUGAGUCCUGAAGAAGGAAUCUGAAAGCUGUUUGGGCACAUGGAAUGGUCUCACUCUAUCACCCAGGCAACCAGGCUGGAAUGCAGAAGUAUGGUCAUUGCUCAUUUCAGUCUCAAGCUCCUGGGCUCAAAGGAUCCUCCUACCUCAGCCUCAAGGUAACUGGACUACAGGCACACACCACCACACCUAGCUAAUUAUUUAUUUUUUUAGAGACAGGAUCUGGCUUUGUUGCCCAGUCUGGUCUCAAACUGCUGGCCUCAAGUGAUUCUCCUACCUCAGCCUCCUAAAUUGUUGGGAUUACAGGCAUGAGCCACUGCAUCCAGCCUAUGAUCCAUCUUGAAUUAAUUAUAUAUGUAUAUAUAUUUGUUUUAUUGAGAUAUAAAUCACAUACCAUAAUAUUCACCACUUUAAAUUACAUAUUUUAUUGGUCUUUAAUAUAUUCAUAAAGUUGUGCAACCAUCACCACUAUCUAAUUCUAGGGCAUUUUAUUCCCAUGCUCAUUUGCUGGGAUUCCUAGUUCCUCCUCCUCUCAGCCCUAAGCAACUAUUUUAUUUUGUCUCUGUAGAUUCUUUCACUUAGCAUAAUAGUUUCAAGAUUCAUCUAUUAUGUAGCAUGCAUCAGUACUUCAUGACUUUUUAUG
This 644-nucleotide long non-coding RNA is filed under the name Callithrix jacchus (white-tufted-ear marmoset). RNAcentral's name for it is "lncRNA (ENSCJAG00000083583.1)". Lineage: Eukaryota; Metazoa; Chordata; Mammalia; Primates; Cebidae. The record is from RNAcentral.